This 522-nucleotide ribosomal RNA is filed under the name uncultured Actinomycetes bacterium. RNAcentral's name for it is "bacterial SSU rRNA". It matches the Rfam family "Bacterial small subunit ribosomal RNA", at positions 360 to 896 of the family's 1533-position model. Lineage: Bacteria; Bacillati; Actinomycetota; Actinomycetes. The record is from RNAcentral.
AAUCUUGCGCAAUGGGCGAAAGCCUGACGCAGCAACGCCGCGUGGGGGACGAAGGCCUUCGGGUUGUAAACCCCUUUCAGCAGGGACGAUUAUGACGGUACCUGCAGAAGAAGCCCCGGCCAACUACGUGCCAGCAGCCGCGGUAAUACGUAGGGGGCGAGCGUUGUCCGGAUUUAUUGGGCGUAAAGAGCUCGUAGGCGGUUUGGCAAGUCGGGUGUGAAAACUCCGGGCUCAACUCGGAGACGCCACUCGAUACUGCUAUGACUCGAGUCCGGUAGGGGAGUGCGGAAUUCCUGGUGUAGCGGUGAAAUGCGCAGAUAUCAGGAGGAACACCGGUGGCGAAGGCGGCACUCUGGGCCGGUACUGACGCUGAGGAGCGAAAGCGUGGGGAGCGAACAGGAUUAGAUACCCUGGUAGUCCACGCCGUAAACGUUGGGCACUAGGUGUGGGGCUCGAUCGACGGGUUCCGUGCCGUAGCUAACGCAUUAAGUGCCCCGCCUGGGAAGCACGGCCGCAAGGCUA